RNAcentral lists this ribosomal RNA (424 nucleotides) under uncultured Eubacterium sp. RNAcentral's name for it is "bacterial SSU rRNA". It matches the Rfam family "Bacterial small subunit ribosomal RNA", at positions 338 to 777 of the family's 1533-position model. The record is from RNAcentral. Lineage: Bacteria; Bacillati; Bacillota; Clostridia; Eubacteriales; Eubacteriaceae.
CCUACGGGGGGCAGCAGUGGGGGAUAUUGCACAAUGGGCGAAAGCCUGAUGCAGCAACGCCGCGUGAGGGAAGACGGUUUUCGGAUUGUAAACCUCUGUUCUAAGUGACGAACAAAUGACGGUAGCUUAGGAGAAAGCCCCGGCUAACUACGUGCCAGCAGCCGCGGUAAUACGUAGGGGGCAAGCGUUGUCCGGAAUUACUGGGUGUAAAGGGAGCGCAGGCGGAGAAGCAAGUCAGUGGUGAAAACGAUGGGCUUAACUCAUCGACUGCCAUUGAAACUGUUUCCCUUGAGUGAAGUAGAGGCAGGCGGAAUUCCGAGUGUAGCGGUGAAAUGCGUAGAUAUUCGGAGGAACACCAGUGGCGAAGGCGGCCUGCUGGGCUUUAACUGACGCUGAGGCUCGAAAGUGUGGGGAGCAAACAGGA